This 468-nucleotide ribosomal RNA is filed under the name uncultured bacterium. Its description in RNAcentral is "partial 16S ribosomal RNA". It matches the Rfam family "Bacterial small subunit ribosomal RNA", at positions 28 to 507 of the family's 1533-position model. The record is from RNAcentral.
GACGAACGCUGGCGGCGUGCUUAACACAUGCAAGUCGAACGGAAAGGCCCUGCCUUUGUGGGGUCCUCGAGUGGCGAACGGGGGAGUUACACGUGAGUAACCUGCCCUUGACUUAGGGAUAACUUCAGGAAACUGGGGCUAAUACCGGAUAGGAGCUCCCGCUUCAUGGUGGGGGCUGGAUAGUUUCGCCGGUUGGGGAUGGACUCGCGGCUCAUGAGCUUGGUGGUGGGGUAGUGGCUUACCAUGGCUUUGCAAGGUAGCCCGCCUGGGAGGGUGAGCGGACACAUUGGGACUGGGAUACGGCCCAGACUCGUACGGGACGCAGGGGUGGAGAAUGUUGCACAAUGGGCGGAGGCCUGAUGCAGCAACGCCGCGUGCGGGGUGACGGCCUUCGGGUUGUAAACCGCAUUCGCCUGUGACGAAGCGUGAGUGACGGUAAUGGGUGAAGAAGCACCGGCUAACUACGUG